This 567-nucleotide long non-coding RNA is filed under the name Nothobranchius furzeri (turquoise killifish). Its description in RNAcentral is "lncRNA (ENSNFUG00015018845.1)". The record is from RNAcentral. Lineage: Eukaryota; Metazoa; Chordata; Actinopteri; Cyprinodontiformes; Nothobranchiidae.
AUGAGACUAUUUAAAUGCAUGUGUUGUUUCACAGAUGUCCUCCAAACUGGAAAGGAGAAUACUGCCAGACCAGCGUUUUUAACACGGUUGCAUCUUCAGGUAGGUCAGGUUUCAGUUUCAUGGGAGAAUAUCUUACAGUACUUUAAACAACGUGAAAAUUAUGCGCUUUAUUUUCAUUCUCCUUGUUCUUCAGUCGGAAUAGCCAUUGGAGUGACGAUACUGGUUGUGGUGCUGCUGGUUUCUCUGGUCUUUGUUGCAAGGAGAAAGUCCAACCUGCUGCAAAGACUGCAGAGCAGUAUACCCAGUAUGCCAUCCAUGCCUAAUUUUUCAAAUUUCAGGAACGGUUACACCAAAAAUGGACCAAAACCAGACAACAGCGAUUCAAGUCAGACUGUAGAGGUUCCCUGCAUGUCCGUGUCCAUAGCUGAGACAGAGGGAAGGAGCUUUGAGAACCCGACGUAUGAAGAACAGCAGCAUGAUUCCAGAAGUGUGCCACCAGUUGCCUCUUCUCCUGCUGAAAUAAACAAGGUCAACAAACAAAAAUCACAUUCUAUUAACUCAGCUUGA